GAAGCCGUCAAGAGGCCAUUUAAAGAAGAUCAAUGAUCAAGAACUCAAGACUCGGCGAGCCCGGGCAAAAUUGGUCUUUUUAUAGUCUUUGCUCUGUUCACAUUACACGACAACAAGUAAAGAGGGGCAGCUGUACAGCCCAAAUUUUGCCCGGGCUAAAAAGCCCAACAUCUAAAAACCCAAUAGCCCAAAACCCAACAACCUUCAAAGUCCAAUCACCUAAACCCUAAUGGCCCA
This 237-nucleotide long non-coding RNA is filed under the name Gossypium barbadense (sea-island cotton). RNAcentral's name for it is "long non-coding RNA (GBAR_LNC001953)". Lineage: Eukaryota; Viridiplantae; Streptophyta; Magnoliopsida; Malvales; Malvaceae. The record is from RNAcentral.